CUCCCCCGCGGCCCGAGCGCGAGCCGCCGUGACGUCACGGGCCGCCCGCCAGCCCCGCGCUCCAGCGGGCAGAGCGCGUGCGGCCGCCGAGCACAUGGGCCCGCGGGCCGGGCGGGCUCGGGGCGGCCUGGACCCGGACGGGCGGCGAGGGGCCGCGCGCGGGGACGGGCCCCGGCACCCCCCGGGCCCCCCGAGAGGAUUUCCACGCCGAGAGGAUGUUGGCAGCGCCGGCGACCUGCCGAGACGCGGCGGGAUCCACCUUCCACCCUGAUCUUUGGACCAGAAAGGAAUUAAAAAGAUGCCCCUCACGAUGGCCGUGCCUGUCGGUUACAUGGAGCUCCAUUCAAGGAUUUUCGGAGCCUUUUGGAUUUACAGUGAUAUUCAGCUGCCUGGGGAAUAACGUUGGUGGAAGCUUUCUCUGGAGUUACGUACACCCGACACCUGUCUGGAUGCUACUGGCGGUUUUAAGGAAGGCCCUGGCUGAGUGCCUGGCGGAUCCCUGCAGCCUGGAUGCCCGUGGGAGACGGAGGACCGCGGCUUCCUGUGAGGGCUGACGACUCUGUCCUUCUCUCCUCACGGAUGCCUGGUUGGGUCUCUGCCAGCCCCGCCGGGGGCUCCCUGUGACACAAUCCUGUCCUACCUGAGAUUUUGGUGCCUUCAAUCUGAAAAAAAUACGCGUCCCUCUGGUACUCUAGAGGAACUUGAGAACAAUCCUUCCCUGAACUAAAGCCAGACCAUUGUGGGAUUUGGAGACUAAAGGUCAGGCUAUGAUUUUGGCAGAGUCCCGAGCUCCUGUGGAGAUUUGCCUCUCACCAGCCUUGGGCUAUCUGCAUUCUUAAACAUCUCAGGGCCCAGAAGAAUUUGACCAGCUCUGGGAAUGGCCUGAAUGAAGAGAGGUCCUUCUCCUCUUCCCACAUAAAUGGACUGCAGGGAAAAAGAAACUUCCUGGCCUGCCUGAUACCAUCUCUAAGGAGGCAGAGGAAACAAAACCCAUUGACAGUGAGAGAACUGCUACUCGGGGAUGUUAAGUAACCCAGCAGAGGUCACACAGCUAAGUGACACAGAGGAGCGUCCCAAGUGGUGAAGACCAUUUUCCAUCACUGCUGUCCUCCACGAGCCUGUGUCUGGAAUGAGACCUGUCUUUGCGCUCAUGAACAGGUUGGAUGGGUAAGAUACCUGGAGGUGUAGCAGCCAUCUUGCAAGCAUGAGGAGACAAGUCAACAGAAUGAAAUGCCAGAGCAGAUAAGACAGAAAAAGCCUGGGUCUUUGAUAGCAUGGUUGAGCUGUUCCACCAGCCCAAGACAGGAGUCUACAUCCAGACUUUCUGUUAUUGAAACAAUGGCCGCUUCUUUACGUCACUCCAAGUUGUCUUUCAUUUGCAGCGGAAAACGUUUCGAAUGGAUACACAGACUUCCGCCAAAGCACAGCCAGUGUCGGGCUGUGUUGGGCUAGUACGGUGGUUAAGAGCCCAAAUUCCAGAGCCAGAAGUCCCAGGUUCCAAUCUCAGCUCCACCGUUACUAGGUAUAGGGCCUGGGCAAGUCAUUUAGCUCUUCUGUGACUCACUGGCCUCAUCUGCAAAAUGCUCAGCAAAGGUGUGGACCCGAGGUUCCACAUUUUACCCAUGAGACAACACUGAGCUGAGUUAAUCCGAAAUCACGCAGCUCCAGCUAGAAGUGGGGGAGCUGAGAUCUGACUCCACGUAAUCCCAGGCUCUGAGACCCUCGUUGCCACUGCACCAUGUCCAGCUGCCUGCCGACAGCGUGGAGACCUUGGGUGCGGCUCCUGGAAUCAGGUUGCCUGGGUUCCUAUCCCAGCUCAACUGUCGAACGGCAUGAUGAUCCAAGGUGCCCAUCUCUGAUGGCUAAAAUGCGGCUCGGCUCAAAGGACCCCUCCCUGAGCUUCACCCGCUGGCCCCACAUCUGGAACAAUUCAAAUCCUCGUGGCCCCUGCUGUGAACGUUGAGGCCACCCUGUCCGCCGGUGACCACGGAUUGCAUUUCCCCCCGAUUGCAGGCGUGUGGGCAGUUACAAGUUGAAAACCAGCAGCCGGCUUCAAAUACAUUUUCUUCAUGCCCUCUCUGAAGUACUUCGUUUUUCCUUUGACACCUUAAUUCUGCCACGCUAUUCCAGCAUGCUGAGAAUAGACUUCUCGAUGCCCUGCGGCUCUCACGGGUAAGGUGGUGUUACUCUCAUUUCUGGGUAAGAAGAAACUCAAGCCACCCGUCAAUUGCUGGUGUAUUCAUUAGGGAUUGGCCAUGUGUCCUGCAAUGAGUCUAGGCCUCCUCACAGGAGAAGAGUAAAGAUAAAAUAAGGAUAAUGUGCUAGAUGCAACUUACUACUUGGUUCCAAGGGAUGAAGUGCUGGCCGGGAGCCAAAGGAAGGUCACUGUGUCUGGGGCACAGAGUGCAUAGGUUUGUCAUUGUUGUGAAUGGAGGGACCUUGGACACCUUAGUUACCUUCACUUGGCGUCAAUUUUCCAAUCUGUAAAAUGGCAACAAUGAUACUUCACCACAUCAGGUUGUUCUGAAGACUAAAUGAGAUCAAACGCCUGAAACACAGUAACUACUCAGCUAUUUUUAUAAUAAGUCCUUUAUUUCUCAGUUUGGGAGAGAGAUAGUCAACAGCUUUUUGCUACAUGUUUUUGCUCCCUUAGAUGGUCAGGGCCCACAGUUAGGAGCCUCUUACAACUUUGAUUUUGGGGGUGGUGAGAACGAUCUUCCUGGGCACCACUUACUAAGGGCUCCCUGUCCACGGUGCCAGCUGAGCAAGGCGGGGUCAUUGUCUAGUUACCAUUUCAUGGUCAGCAGAUCUUUUUCUUCCUUUCUGUCUACAAAGACAGAAUAACAGGCUUCCAGGUCCCUACGCCCCAAGGAAGAGACUGACCAGGAACCCAUGAAGGCUGGGUUCAAUGAGACAAGUACAUCCUUGCAACUAAAGGUGCAGGAAGUCAGCCAGGACUUCCAGGCGUGGAGCCUGGUCACUUCUGUCUUGUUCAUGGCUUAGAACAGCGCCUGGAACAUGGUAAACGGUUCAUAAAUGUUGGGGAGGAUAAACAGUCCCCUCUUGUGAAUGUCACACUGCCUGCUGUCCUCAGAGGCUCUGGCUUCCUGUGUCUCUUAGACUGUGAUGCCAUGAUGCCAACAGGAGGACACUUUCUGGCUUCCCUGGCUGCCUGCCAAGAUGCACUCAAGCCGUGAUGUACAGUCAACGGGGCACUUUUCGCCUCUGGUUUUCCAGAGUGGAGAGCACAUCAUUGCCAAGAAGUUUCUGCCUCACUCUUAGUUCCCCAGGGUGGCCUGCCAGUCACCGGUGUGGUACCUCAGACAAUGGAGAUGCAGGGGCCGUGACUCCCUGCCUGUAUGUCAAGGUCUUCGACGCCCACUUGCGCAUGAGCUGGAAGAGGCGUGUCCAUCUCAGAGCGUGAAGAGCUGGCGAAGUCCCCACGGUUUCUCUCCGUCUCCUGGACCCACUUUCCCCUCUUCACAGUGGCUUCUUUGUGUCCCCCAAGGGGCCAUCUCCUGCCCCUCCAGCUCAUCUCCAGCUCGUGGCUUUGCUGACUCCUCACCUACCUGUGCUGUUUUCUGUACUGCAUAGAACUGGGUCCUCCAGGAAGACAUAUUGGAGUCCUGACCCACAGCAACUGUAAGUGUGACCUUAUUUGGAAAUAGGGUCUGUGCGGACAUAAUCUGGUUUAGAUGAAGUCAUUCUGGAUCAAGAUGGCCUCCAAUCCAGUCAUGGUGUCUUUGUAAGAGAGAUGGACAGACGGGGAGAAGGCCGUGUGAAGGCAGGGGCAGACAUGGGUGGGGACGCUUCUGCAAGCCAUGUGGUGUGUAAGGUUGCUGGCCCACCACAAAGGCUAGAGGAGGCCAGGAAGGACCUUGCCUUUUAGGUGUCAGAGGGAGCAUGGCCCCAUGGACACCUCGAUUCAAGACCUUCAUCCUCCGGAACUGCAACAGAAUAAAGUUCUAUGGUUUUAAGCCUCCCAGUCUGUGGAGCUUUGGCCACCCCAGAAGACCCACACACUCCCCUCCACCCUUCCGUCUCCUCCUCAGUGUCACCUCUUUGUUGAGUUACCCACCCGGGGCACAUUUUACCAUUCUUCCACCAGACCCUGAGGGGCUGAUUCUCUGCGGCUCUUUUGGAGCAGAUGUGACCGGGAAAUCAAUACAGCCAUUAGAUUAAUCUGCGGCAACCAUAAUGUCAUUGCAUCUUUCGCCCUGUGAUGUUGACAGAGAUGUCAGAGCUAGGAGGAGGGGAGGCGCUUCAAAGAAGGAAUGGGGCCUCCGAAGUGAAGGGGAGACUUGAAACCCCACAGAGCCUCACUUAACGGACGAAGGAUUGUGGGUGGCUGCCUCUGGCAUCAUCAGGUCUUCUGUCAGAGAAUGCAGUGACUUGGCAACAGGCAGAGCAGGGGGACCUGUAAAGCUCGGACAUCGGGAGGCCUCUCGGGAGGAUGAACUCGGCAGCAAUGGAGCGGUAGCCUGAGCAGUGGUUCUUAUCCAGGGGCACUUUUGCCACACCCCACCCCCGCACCCGCCCCACCCAAGAUACUUGGUGAUGCCUGGAGACGGUGUUUGGCUGUCAUGACCUGUGUGUGUACGCAUGUGUGACUAGCGUCUGGCUCGUAGAAGCCAGGGAUGCUACCCAACAUCCUCCUGUGCUCAAGACACCCCCCACAACGAAGACUUUUCCAGCCUGCGGUAGCAGCCGACAGUGCUGAGACCCAGGAAGUCGGGUGGAGACAGAAGUGGCUGAGCAGCCGGUGACUACAUUUCCUAGCAUCCCUUGGGGCUAGGUGUGGCCAUGUGACUGGUUCUCACCAAUGGAGUGGGGACAGGCGUGCUGUGCCAUGCCCAGGUACAAGGCUCUUAGUAAGUAGAUGGGCCUCUUCCCUGCCCCGCCCCACACCCCCCUCACCCCCCAGGCUGGAUGAAGAGAACAGCAAGGUUAUUUGGUCUGGUGUUUUGUUUAUUCGUCAUAGACAUUGGUUUCUACAGAACAACUCAGAGGAUAAACAGAGGCACACGGCUGUAAUUGCCACCACAAUCUGCUGCUGAGGAGACAUGCGACCCGAGGAUAAGGGGCUGGGAGCUGGAUGGGGUGUGUUGGGUCCCGGGAUAACUGGAGGCCCCUGUGAUGAACCACGUAGGGAUCCUGUCAGUCACGAUCUGACCCCCGGGCCUGAUGGUGACAGUGGAGCCACGCGGGGACCUAAAUCGCCAUGUGAGGAGAGCUGUCUGCCAGUCAGAGACACUCAGCUCGGACUUUCAUGAGAAAAGAUAAAGAAGCAAAUGUUCAAGGAGGCUAGCAGGCCAGAGAACUCUCAUGUGCAAAGGAGAAAUGCAGCAUUUGUAAGAGCGCAAAACUGCUAAGCCAAGUGUAUGUCCGCAGGAGAAUGGACGAAAUGAACUCCUACAAAGAGCGUAAACGAACUAUAAAUAAGUGGAUUCGAGCGGCCUGUGCUACAUAUCUCAGAAUCUCAGAAACAGUCUUAAGCAUCAAAGCCGUCUCAAAAAGGUAGAUAUCGGAUGAUGUCACAAAUAAUGUUACAUAUUGUGCCAGUCAGGGUCCCAGUAGGAAACGGAAGGCGAACUUGGAACUCUGGAAAGAAGGAAAGGAAGGCAGCUUUUCCAGGGGUGGUAGGUGUGGCGGACUGUUUCAUGGCCACAGAUCCCACAUCGCUCCUUCCGUCCCGCGGUGGAAUCUGUUUUUCCAUCCCCAUUCAUCUGGGCUGGUUUUGUGACUUGUCUUGAUGAGAGACUGUGGCAAAAGUGACUUCAGGUAGGUUACACCGGGCUUGAAGUUUUCUCCCUUCACACCUUUUUAAAAAAUGUUUUAUUUAUUUUUUGAGAGAGAGAGAGAGAAAGCAGGGGAGGGGGAGAGAGAGGGAGACAGAGCAUCAGAAGCAGGCUCUGUGCUGUCGGCGUGGAGCCUGACGCGGGGCUCAAACCCACGAACCUCGAGACUGCGACUUGAGCCGAAGUCGGAUGCUUCGCCGACUGAGCCACCCCGGUGCCCCUCCGUUCACACUUGAAAUGCGCUGACAUUAUACAAAGGGGCCUGCACCAACCUGCCAGAGGCCUUGUGGACAGAAAGACCCAACCGCCAGCCAGCGCUGACCGCCAGAUGCGUGAGUGAGGCUGCCUGGGGCCCAGCCAGCCCCUAGCUGACCACGAGCGGGCUACCGAUGUACGAGGAGGGCAGCCAGAACCACUCCAAGCCGAGCUUCCUAGCUGAGUCCAGCUCAGAUUACCAACCCAAGGGUUAGGAACAAAACACUGGUUAAUAUUUUCAGCUAUUAAGUUUUGGAGUGUUUCUUUGGGAGUAUAUAAUCGACUUAGAAGGGUCAAGGAACCCAGAAGAGGAGCUCGGGCGUUGAAGUACAGUGGCAAGAGGAACUCAGCGGGUCUGAAUGAAUCAUCAUGAGGAAGCAUAACUUGUUGAGGCUUCCCAAGACACGGAAAGGAAUCUGGCCGACCUCUGUGUUGAAGCUUUACGAGACAGGUGUGAGCAGUAAGAGACCUACCGUAUAUUUUCUCUCCCCGACUCUUUGUUUCCUGGUAAUGGUGCACCUUCUCCACGUACACGAAGCUAGUCUGUGGUGAGAAAAAUCAGCAUUUGGAAGACCGGAACUUCACUUGUCUCCUAAGAAGAACCUUACUUUUAUGUUGGGUGUGAAACCAGGAGCAUGUGCUGUGGCAGCAUUGAGAAGAGGGAUGUCAGGCUUCUCUAGACCUGUCCACCCACAAAGCCAUUGCUUCAGGCAAGCCUCCUCACCAUUCCAGGCCUCCUGCUCUCUAACACGAGCAUUUAAAUACCCACCCACAGCAUUUAGAUGGUUAUUGCAAGUAAAAGAUGAAAUGAUUUCAUUGUAAUUAUUAUUAUGGUUACUUACUAUGGUCUCAGAGGAGAGUUCUUUAAGAUGCUGGAACUCUCUUGGGUCCAGGAGCAUGAGAACGAUUGUUCUUCUAUGACCAGUUCUUUCCAACUCUCCACAUAAAUCCAAACCAAAUGCAAAAGGAUAUAUUUAAAAACGUUUCUUACUUGACCACCGGGAGCUCUGAAUGGACUAGUGUAGAAGUUUGGGUCCUCUGAGAAGUACACACUAAGACAGGGUUAGAUGCCUAAGAGGGUCAUUGGAGGAAACACCUGUGAAGAGAAAGAGGGAGGAAGUAGGGGGAGGCAGGGAGAGACUUUAGACCCUGAUGUGGGUCUCACACCUGUGAAAGGAGAGGAGGAAGGAAGGAGACCAGGAAGAAAGAGUCUGAAACUGAAGUACAUUUCUAAGAUCCAGUGUUUGGACAGAGACCAAAUUGCCUAUGAGAGCAGUUCCAUGCCCCAGAGAAAUGAGCCUGGGCUUAUACCCUCGUCAUGCUUAGUCAUUGGCAGGGAGCAGCCUGUGGGAGGUGUGACCUUGGCAUGAACACAGUGGCGGAGCCAGCACUGGGACAUUCAGUCAACUAUGUUUCCCAUCUCAGGAGACGUGAGCAGUACAUUUUCAUGGCUACCCAGCAAACUGUGAGACAUUUCCUCCUUGAGAACACAUCGUAAGGACUUUGAAAAACAAACCAGAACAUUUGUGAUAGUAUAGAUUUUGCACCCCAAAUCAAUGUUCCAUUCCCUUCUUUGACUUUCACUUCCCCCUCUGUUUCAGCUAGACCAAUCAUGUUGAAAACCCCACCCAGGUUUGUAGAGUUCCUCAUUUGACAAUUAAAAAAAAUUUAUGUGACUGAGUCACAUGCACUUCCUUUGUUUUAUCUUUUCAAUGAGUUGUUUUCAUUUCUUGGGUUUUCUUUGAUUUCAUGUUUUUCCUAUCUUUACCCAUCCACCAUUGCCUGUUCAUACUGUAUUGCUGAUGCCUGAUGUGGUAUUUGUGGAAUAAAUGGACCAAUAAAUUAGUGAACGGGCUAUAAGAGUCAAACCUUCUUCAUGUCUGUGAGCUCCUUGGUGUCAGGGUCUUUGUCUUAGGGUGAUGACAUAUAAUGGAAAGACCAUAGGUUUUGUUCUAUGAUUAGACACAAAUCAGCUGUGUGAUCUUGGGCAAAUUGCACCACCUAUGUGAGCCCAGUUUUCUUUUUUUGACUAAUCAAGCCAAUAAUAGUAUCUGUCUCGUUGAAAUGUAAAUGACAGAGUGAUAAUAAAUGUAAAGUUCUGGGCACAGUGUCCAGCACAUUGGAGAUGCUGAACAAAUGACAGGUAAUGAACGAAUGGGCCUGAGGAAUGUGUAACACAUAUUGUAAUAUAUAAUACAUAACUCAUUAGACUUUGCUCCUUUCCCCGCCCUCCUGAAAGUCCCCUGUCCAUAUCUAGUCACAAAGGAUCCAGGCGAGAACAGGUAGAUGGGUAAAGGAUUGGAACAUAGCAGCAAACAGGCCAGUGUUGAGCACUUACUGUGUGUGCAGCUACUGGGCUAAUCAUUGUGAGACAGGUGGAGAUGACUGAGGUAUACUCCACGUCCUCAAAGAGGUGGCAUUUCAACAUGGCAUUAGGUGUUUGAAGGUAUUGAUGGAUGGACACCUGGGGUGCAAGACAGCAUCAUUAUAGGAUGAAUAGGAAUAGUGUUUUGGAAAAUGUUGAGCAGACUGGGAUGUGGGGAAACAGAGGGAAAGACGUAGCUCGAAAGUUAGUUGAGAGGGGAAUCCAACAUGGCAGAGAAGUAGGGGGACCCCAAGUUCCCUCGUCCCUCAAACACAGUAGCGUUGAGGCCAGAGGACUUGGAAUUGCAAGAGCCCGGACUUCAGAGUGACAGAGACGUCUCCAGGAGCCCAUGGGGACAACCUGGUGGGCAAUAGGUGCGUGAUUGGGAACUGGGAGAGAGAAAACGGGCAUAGGCACCACCCAUAGGAAGGGGAGGGAUUCCCUUCUGCAGACAGAGGGAAGAGAAAGAGAGGUUGUGCAAGUGUAGGACUGUAUUUGGACAAGUGAAAAACCACAGACUGGGGGUCAGGAAAAAAACAAAAUGGAGAAAGAGCCAAUCUCUAACUGCAGGCUUUCUCCCGACUGGGGCCCCAGCUGCUCUGUGUGUGCACCUGCGGAGGAGGGGAGCCAGCCCCGGGCUCAGUACCUAGCUCAGAGGUGCAGUCCGCAGUGGGAGAAAGCGAUCCCCUCCCUGGAGUGCUGUGGGAAGAAGCAAGGUGGGGCUUCAGGGAACAACAGCGGGGGCACAGUGGAGGGGGACCCCCUCCCCGCGCCUGGGAACUAUGUAUCUACCUGAGAUUGACACUGACCAAUCAGACAGCCCCUCCUCCAGACCAGAGCUGCCACUGGAUCCAAGGCACCCAGCGGGUUUGCAUUUUCUGAUUUAAUUCUUGGACAAUUCCUAUUAUACAUAUAUAUACAUAUAUAUACUUUUUCCCCUCUUCCCUUCUCUAGUCUGGUUAUUCUGGUUGUGGGGCGUUGUUUUGUUGAUUUGUUUAAGCAAACAUAUUUAAUCUAUUCUCUUUACACCUGUUCUAUAUCUCCUUUUUAUUUUCCUCCCUCCCUCUCUCUCUCUUUCUCUCUCUCUCUGUAUUAAGAUAUAUAGUUUCAAUGUCUGGUCAGUUUUCUUUUCUUUUCUUUUUCCCUAUCCCUGUCAUUUCUCUCUUUGUAUGGGAUAAGGCCUCUUGCCCACCACCACCACCCCCAAUUUUUUUUUCAUUCUUUUUUUUCUUUUUAAUUUUUUUUUCCAAGGCUACUUUGAUGAAUACAUCAAAGCACACCUGGUGGAGGGUCCAAAACAUCACUACAAGCACGGAGAUAAAGGAACCAGAGUCACAACAGCAGAGAGCACGGAACACACUCUGAAAACCACCUCCUGAGGGGCCGAGCCCUAGGCAGUGUGUGACCCCUCUUUAAUAUAGUAGUGCUCGCAGGUACAGGACACAUAAGCUUUUAAAACACAUAAGGGACAGAAAACUAGCCAAAAUGAUGACACGGAAGAAUUCUCCUCAAAAGAAAUUCCGGGAAGAAACGACAGCUAAAGAAUGUCUCAAAACAGAUGUAAACAAUAUAUCUGAUCAAGAAUUUAGAGUAACUGUCACAGAAAGUUAGUUGGGAUCAAACCCAUGAGGACUCUGAAUGUCCAGCCAAGGAAACUGGAUUUGAUUCUGUAGCUACUGGUAUGUCAAUAAAGGCUCUUGAAGAGAUAAGUGGAAUGACCCAGCUAGCAACUGGAAGGACGAAGUGAGAGUGAACACCUGAAAAUGGCAUGUCCAAAUAACCCCAAAGCAGUGAGUCCCCAUCUAUGGGCUGGUUCACACACCUUUGUCAAUUGCUUAUUUGCCAAUAAAUAAUGUCUUUAUUUUCAUUUUCAACCAAUGCAGGGAAUCUCUAAUAAUGAACCACUGGGCCCUGGCAUCAUUUUCACAUAGGAGGGUGAAGGUUUUAAUCCCUGUUGUAAGUGAGUUAACCUCAGUAGAGGGUACAGAGAUCACCCUUGUUUACCAAGUCACAUUUUUUCAAUCAGCCCGCAUUUUCUGAGCUCGUUACAAGUCAGGCACUGCGCUGAGGGCCAGGGUGUAAGGGCGAAGGCACCUGCCUGUUCUCGGCAGUCUUCUCAUUUGUUGGGAGAGGGACAGGCACGCACGUGACUAUGAGCCAAGAAUGGAACUGACGUGGUAUCUCUUCUCCCAGUAAAGACUCUGCAUUCAAGUCACACGACAGUUUACGGAAGAGUCAAUGUCUGUUCACAUCCCUGUGCCUUUGCUCACACUGUUCCCUUGGAAUCGAAUGUUUUCCACUCAAGAAUCAGCCUACGUGGGGGCGGACCACAGAGAACAAAGGACACAAUUUGGGACAUUCUUUAGCAACUAAGCCUAUCGAGUUUCCUUGCAAACACCAGAUUCAUCUAUUACUGUGAAGAACGAGAAAUCCAAGAUGGGGCCCUACUAAUCCAUGCCGUAGUCUCCAGUGUGUUGAGCAUCUUUCACGUGCUGGGUGCUGGGAACAUGGCAAUGAAUCAUCCUUCGGGGAACUUGCAGCCAGCAGGGAAGAUAAGGCCAGUCCGUGAACUCCCAGAACAGGCAGGAAGUUAUAAGAAGAAUAUAUAUAAAUAGAGGGUUCCAUAUAAAGCUCAGAGGAGGGAGAAGCUAUAUUAAGCUGAAGCAUUGAGAAAAGACAUUUUGGAGCAUUUGCUCUGUGAGUUGGACCUUGAAAAUGGGAGAGACUUGAAGGCAUGCAGAUGGUUUGGGAAGUGGGGGAGUACUGGUGCCAGAGUUCAUUCGGUGCAAAGGCAAGGAGGUGGAAGAAAGCCGGGCUUUCGGGGAGAACAGAGACAUAGCUUAUCAAGAGCAAGGAGGAACUAAAGAAAUGAAAGGAGGAGAGACAGACCAGGGCCAGGUGAUGGAGGAAGCAGAGGUGUUAGCUGGUAACGAAACUGCAGACCCCUAGACGUGAAGCUGUCUUCCCCUCUGAUUCAAGUUGGAAAAAGGUUGCCCGACAGAGGUGCCGCAGAAGUCGGUUGCAAUGCUGCUCGUCUGCUUUUAGACAACAGCAAGAGGCUGCCAGUGCCUUGGAGUUGUGUCUGAGUGCGUUGGUUUAUUUUGUCCUUCUACUGAGUUUAUUAGAGACACAUAUCCUGAAAUGAGAGGGACCGCCUGUUGAUAAGAUCUCAAUAUGGAAAAGAAAAAGCCCGAGGAAUGUCAGGAUCUUCUGCGUGUGUGUGUAUGCGUGUGUGUGUGUUCACCUUCUUGCAGAGAGGUCAAAGGGCUUGGCCAACAUCAUCUUUUUAGGCUUCCGUGCUCUAAGGGAGCUUUUCAAAGGGGGGAAAUUAAAGAUAUAUGGCCAUAAAAGAACACUCUACAUGAGAAUGGAGAUAAUCAAAGAAUUGCCUGUAUUUGGGUAUCCUCUAAGUAUAACAGUACUUGGUUGGCCUGAGUUGGACGUUGACUCUUGAGCUGAUUGAACUCUGAUUAUAUCUUGAGUUCCACCAUCAGUCAUUGCUCUUCUCAAACUGGGAGUGGAUUAGGCCCUGUGUCUAUUCAACAAACGUUUUUUCUGGGCUAACUAGGUGUCAAGAUCUGUGCUGUGUGCUAAAGUAGAGGUCAUAGGUGGAGGCACAAAAUGAAAUAGAAAUGGUCCUUCUUCUUGAGGAUGGUACCGUCUAGUGGGGCAGACACAUAUGUGCAGAUAUUUUCAAUGCAACGUAUUGAUGGGUCAGAUGGCAGUAAACGCAGGGUGCUUGCUGUAAGAGCCCCAAGGAGGCACGUGUCCUUAGCCUGAGCUAAGGGUGUUGGGAACGGCUAGGGAAGGUUGUUUAAAGAAACCGAUACCUCAGCGUCUCCUCUACUGUUGGUCCAGCUUUAGAACCACAGCCUCUCAAAGCUGGUUACCCGAGGCCACCGUACCUAUCAAACUUAAUUAUCAUCCCUUGUGUCACUAUCUGAUGUGCUGUAAACUUCAAAGGACAGAGACUGUUUCUAUUUUGCUCCUAAUGUGUUUCCACCAUGUAAAAGUACCAGCACCUGGUAGGUACCUCAUAAACACGGGUUGUGUGUUAAGGAAGAAGACAUUAGCACAUGAAUUUCGCCCUCUCCCUCUAAGUGCUGAGGGGAGUUCCAUCGUAAUAUUUAAUGACUGAUUUCUGCAUUCCUGAUGCUGAGCCAAGUCUAGAAAGAAACCACAAAAAAAGGAAAGGUGUGUUGGACCAAACCGAACCUUGGACAUCAGCUGAUUCUAUGCCUCAUUUAUACGGAUGGAAAGUUGUUGGGAGAAGUUGCAUUGUAACUAUGAGUGCCAGGUCAUCCAGGUAAUUAGCAGUGCAGUAAGUCUAAAAUCUAGCUACCCCGACUUCCAGUCCUCAGCUCCUUGUGGUGAGUCACUGGGAUUUUUCUAUCAGUUCCAGAUACGUAGGGGGAAGUGCAAAGAAUUCUGAGAAGGACUCCUCUCUUUUGAGAGCAUACGGAGUGCUUCUGAAUGCUGAAGGAGUCUCAUCUUGCAAACAAGGAAUUGGAGACCUGGAGAAGUUACGUAACGUGCUUACAACCACACAGCUAGUCAUCGCCAGACCGGGAUUUGAACCCACGCUUGGAUUCUGGAGGCCAAGCCUUCACAGUGACACUCUGUUCGAAUAAUGAUUGUCAAAGAAGCUUACAGGUGGAUACUGCUUCUUUCAUAAGGACGGUCUCGCUUUGUCCAUGCAGCAGCCCUGUGAAAUCGAGGCUACCAUCAUUACUCCACAGGUGUGAAACGGGGGUCAACAAGCUGAAGAAACUGGUCCAAAUUGGCCCUGCGCCGGAAUAGUGGAGUCCGACCGUUGUGCCACUGGGCUGGGGACCGAUUACUGCUCCUGUGAUGUUCCUGGCUCCGCUCUGCUUCUACUGGCCCCUCCCUCGCGGAGCAUGCCCUCUCCGAGGACCCCAGUUGAGUCCCGGUGUGGUUUUGUUUGUUUUGACAGUUCUCUUUUCUCUCUCAUUCUCUUCAAUACUCUAUGAUGCAUGAAACUCAUUGUUUCUAUAGGCAUCACGCGGUUCUGCAGAGCUUAGAGUGAGCUACAGUGGGCUUCUAGCCUGGGGAGGGUCACUGGCAUUUAAGGACAUCAUCCUUGGAAGGAUGGCUCCAGGUGAAUUCAACCUCUGAUGUCAAGGUCACCUCCUACCUGGGUGUUGAGCUCACCUUGAUUUACACUUCCUCAGAAGGAAACACAAGGCUGUCCGUAGAUGGAGUUUGCACGAAGUCAUUGCUCCCUGCAAAUUUUAGAAAGGCACCCUGUUUCCUGUUGUUUGUGGUUUUGAACUCUCCAUCACCUGGCCUUGAUGAACCUGUCUAAAUCCUCCAGACUGCAGUCUGUCACUUAUGUCAUUUUUUCUCUGGGCUGUCAUAGCACCCUGUGCUUGAGAUAUUCCUUUGACUAGAACUCCCCUGUGUUAACCUUUGGCUUGGCUACCAUGGUUUCAGCUAAGAUGUGACCUAUCACACAAAAUCUUCCUUGACUUCCUAAACCGCACAUCUCUCCCAUGUCAUGGAAUCUCUUUGAAAAAAAGACUCUCUGUGGGGGCACCUGGGCACCUGGGCUCAGUCGCUUAAGCGUCCGACUUUGACUCAGGUCAUGAUCUCACGGUUAGUGAGUUCGAGCCCCACAUCAGGCUCUGUGCUGACAGCUCAGAGCCUGGUGCCUGCUUUGGAUUCUGUGUCUCCCUCGCUGUCUGCUCCCCCCACCCCACCUCUCUCUCUUUCUCUAAAAAAUAAAUAAAUAUUAAAAAAAAGACUCCGUUCAUCUUAGCAUUUGUUACAUUGUCCUGUUUAUUAUCCUUCUCCGGCACUACGCACUGAACUCUUUGAGAGCAGUGGUUUCUAGCAUCUUCUAUAAUGCUUGGCACAUAGUAGGUGCUCGAUGAAUAGCUGUUGAUUAAAUGUUUGCUUCGAUCUCUG
Molecule: long non-coding RNA, 14346 nt
Organism: Acinonyx jubatus (cheetah)
Lineage: Eukaryota; Metazoa; Chordata; Mammalia; Carnivora; Felidae
Exons: 21
Source: RefSeq, a predicted model, not a curated record